GAUGAAGAACGCAGCGAAAUGCGAUAAGUAAUGUGAAUUGCAGAAUUCAGGGAAUCAUCGAAGCUUUGAACGCACAUUGCGCCCGCCAGUAUUCUGGCGGGCAUGCCUGUUCGAGCGUCAUUUCAACCAUCAAGCCCCCGGGCUUGUGUUGGGGACCUGCGGCUGCCGCAGGCCCUGAAAAGCAGUGGCGGGCUCGCUGUCACACCGAGCGUAGUAGAUUUUAUCUCGCUCAGGGCGUGCUGCGGGUUCCGGCCGUUAAACCACCUUCAUAUCCCAAGGUUGACCUCGGAUCAGGUAGGAAGACCCGCUGAACUUAAGCAUAUCAAUAAGCGGAGGU
RNAcentral lists this unclassified non-coding RNA (337 nucleotides) under soil metagenome. RNAcentral describes it as "partial contains 5.8S ribosomal RNA, internal transcribed spacer 2, and large subunit ribosomal RNA". The stretch from base 1 to 120 matches the Rfam family "5.8S ribosomal RNA", at positions 35 to 154 of the family's 154-position model. The record is from RNAcentral.